CUGGCGGCGUGCCUAAUACAUGCAAGUCGAACGAGUUCUCGUUGAUGAUCGGUGCUUGCACCGAGAUUCAACAUGGAACGAGUGGCGGACGGGUGAGUAACACGUGGGUAACCUGCCCUUAAGUGGGGGAUAACAUUUGGAAACAGAUGCUAAUACCGCAUAGAUCCAAGAACCGCAUGGUUCUUGGCUGAAAGAUGGCGUAAGCUAUCGCUUUUGGAUGGACCCGCGGCGUAUUAGCUAGUUGGUGAGGUAAUGGCUCACCAAGGCGAUGAUACGUAGCCGAACUGAGAGGUUGAUCGGCCACAUUGGGACUGAGACACGGCCCAAACUCCUACGGGAGGCAGCAGUAGGGAAUCUUCCACAAUGGACGCAAGUCUGAUGGAGCAACGCCGCGUGAGUGAAGAAGGCUUUCGGGUCGUAAAACUCUGUUGUUGAGAAGAAUGGUCGCAGAGUAACUGUUGUCGGCGUGACGGUAUCCAACCAGAAAGCCACGGCUAACUACGUGCCAGCAGCCGCGGUAAUACGUAGGUGGCAAGCGUUAUCCGGGAUUUAUUGGGCGUAAAGCGAGCGCAGGCGGUUUUUUAAGUCUGAUGUGAAAGCCCUCGGCUUAACCGAGGAAGCGCAUCGGAAACUGGGAAACUUGAGUGCAGAAGAGGACAGUGGAACUCCAUGUGUAGCGGUGAAAUGCGUAGAUAUAUGGAAGAACACCAGUGGCGAAGGCGGCUGUCUGGUCUGUAACUGACGCUGAGGCUCGAAAGCAUGGGUAGCGAACAGGAUUAGAUACCCUGGUAGUCCAUGCCGUAAACGAUGAAUGCUAGGUGUUGGAGGGUUUCCGCCCUUCAGUGCCGCAGCUAACGCAUUAAGCAUUCCGCCUGGGGAGUACGACCGCAAGGUUGAAACUCAAAGGAAUUGACGGGGGCCCGCACAAGCGGUGGAGCAUGUGGUUUAAUUCGAAGCAACGCGAAGAACCUUACCAGGUCUUGACAUCUUUUGAUCACCUGAGAGAUCAGGUUUCCCCUUCGGGGGCAAAAUGACAGGUGGUGCAUGGUUGUCGUCAGCUCGUGUCGUGAGAUGUUGGGUUAAGUCCCGCAACGAGCGCAACCCUUAUGACUAGUUGCCAGCAUUUAGUUGGGCACUCUAGUAAGACUGCCGGUGACAAACCGGAGGAAGGUGGGGAUGACGUCAAAUCAUCAUGCCCCUUAUGACCUGGGCUACACACGUGCUACAAUGGAUGGUACAACGAGUUGCGAGACCGCGAGGUCAAGCUAAUCUCUUAAAGCCAUUCUCAGUUCGGACUGUAGGCUGCAACUCGCCUACACGAAGUCGGAAUCGCUAGUAAUCGCGGAUCAGCACGCCGCGGUGAAUACGUUCCCGGGCCUUGUACACACCGCCCGUCACACCAUGAGAGUUUGUAACACCCGAAGCCGGUGGCGUAACCCUUUUAGGGAGCGAGCCGUCUAAGGUGGGACAAAUG
Molecule: ribosomal RNA, 1474 nt
Filed under: Lacticaseibacillus casei
Lineage: Bacteria; Bacillati; Bacillota; Bacilli; Lactobacillales; Lactobacillaceae
Description: bacterial SSU rRNA
Rfam family: Bacterial small subunit ribosomal RNA
Source: RNAcentral